RNAcentral lists this long non-coding RNA (357 nucleotides) under Pan troglodytes (chimpanzee). Its description in RNAcentral is "long non-coding RNA NONPTRT008940". The record is from RNAcentral. Lineage: Eukaryota; Metazoa; Chordata; Mammalia; Primates; Hominidae.
UAUGGAAAGAACCAUGUGUGGAGUUUGGCACCACAGAUAUUCUCUGAGUGAUUGAAGUCUCUUCUACCAUGAGGCCUUGAAAGCUCCAUGAUAGAGAUGACAGAGCUAUAAGAUGAAAGCAGCCCAAAUCCCUGAGUCACCAAUGUUUGAAGAAGAGCUUCCCAGGAGAGGUACCAGACCCACAUGAGACUUCACAUGAUUAUAAAAUGAACUUCUAUUGUGUUGAAUCUCUGAACUUCAGGGUUGUUUUGCAGCACAGACUACAUUAUAGCGACAAGUAGAGGAAGGUACAGGCAUGCUAAUUUCAUUUUAAAAUUAAUCAAGGAUUGUCAAUGGAAAAUAAAGAUUUCAGAUUCC